AGCAAAAUAGUUCUAAGCUUCAGUUAAACUUCUUUAGCAUUGAUAUGAACCAUGGACAAGUAUAUUCUGCUGCUACAAAGACUAAAGUGCUUCAUUUCAACAGCUGAGGCAAGCCAAGUGAUCAUUAAUAAAGGUUUUCUUGCUUCCUUCAGUGGUGUUGGUAGUAAAUGGAAGGUGUCUUGCUGCAGGUAACUAAUGAAGAAGUGGUCAACCACAGAAUCUUCAAGAAAUAAGAAAUUCUGUACCAUCUGAAAGUAGUUCUUGUUGGUGCCUUCAU
Molecule: long non-coding RNA, 277 nt
Organism: Jaculus jaculus (lesser Egyptian jerboa)
Lineage: Eukaryota; Metazoa; Chordata; Mammalia; Rodentia; Dipodidae
Exons: 3
Source: RefSeq, a predicted model, not a curated record